CGCAUAUAUUUUGCGCAUCAAAACAUUCCAUCAGUGGGGGAGCAACCUUUGGAAUGUUGUUAAUAUUUCGCACCUUCCGAACUUUCUUGAAUUGAAUCUCUAGUCUGCAUUCAUUUACAAGCAUAACGAACCAGAAAAGUGUUAAAAAUUCAGUAUAAUAUAUAUCUAAUCAUAUUUUACAACUGUAGCACUGAGUUCAAAAUGUAAACAAAGCGUUUGUUUACAUUACGGACUUUACAUCACCUUUAAAUU
RNAcentral lists this long non-coding RNA (252 nucleotides) under Paramuricea clavata. Lineage: Eukaryota; Metazoa; Cnidaria; Anthozoa; Malacalcyonacea; Plexauridae. The record is from RNAcentral.